ACGAACGCUGGCGGCGUGCUUAACACAUGCAAGUCGAACGGAAAGGCCCCCUUGUGGGGUACUCGAGUGGCGAACGGGUGAGUAACACGUGAGUAACCUACCCUUGACUUUGGGAUAACUUCAGGAAACUGGGGCUAAUACCGGAUAGGAGCUCCUGCUGCAUGGUGGGGGUUGGAAAGUUUCGGCGGUUGGGGAUGGACUCGCGGCUUAUCAGCUUGUUGGUGGGGUGGUGGCUCACCAAGGCUUUGACGGGUAGCCGGCCUGAGAGGGUGACCGGCCAAAGUGGGGAAGGAGAGCCGGCCCAGCCCCCGAGGGGGGGCAGAGGGGGGGAAUAUGCAAAAAGGGGGGGAAGCUUAAGGCGGCAAGCCGGCGGGGGGGAGGCGGCCCUUCGGUUUUAAACCCGCUUCCCCUGGGGACGAAGGGUGAUGGAGGGAAGGGGGAAAAGAAGCCCCGCCAAACUCGGGC
Molecule: ribosomal RNA, 465 nt
Filed under: uncultured bacterium
Lineage: Bacteria
Description: partial 16S ribosomal RNA
Rfam family: Bacterial small subunit ribosomal RNA
Source: RNAcentral